GUUAAAGGAAAAAAAAUUAAAAUUUCUGUUAGUAGUUUAAAGUUAUUGCUCAUUAACAAAAAACAAAAAACAUUGGGGUAAGCAAAACCUAAGUAGAUUCAGAUAAAAUUUGUUAUGGAAAAGGGUCACUGGUCUUAAAGUUGAAUAACAUUUUCAAAGGAAAAAAUAAACAGGCAGCAUUUAGCAGUGAUAAAAAACAUGAGUGUGAGUGGUGGUUUUGCAGUACAGAAAGUGCUAAAGUAACCGACGAGGAAGAUGACUAAGGCCUGGAUCAGGCAUUUGCCUGCAGAGAUAAAGAAUAAAUGAAGAUCUUUGAUCUUUAAUAAAAAUAUAUAUAUCUUGUGUAUAGAGAAACUUCCAAUCACCUUGAGAAUGACACUUUCUGUAUAAUACUAAAUUCCAUUUUAACUCUGAAAUCUCAAAUUCCAUGUAAAAUGAGUUGUUGCCAGGUUAUUUAAUCUGCACUGAACUGACCUUUACCUUCUUUUAUUAGGAAUUACAGAUUCUUUCUUAAUAGCUAAUAUGCCAACCUACUGAAUUCAUCACUUAUGCGAAAUAAGUGCAAUUUAAGCAUUUAAGGAGAACAAUACUCGCCAAGUGCUGAUAAGAGAUUAAAGCAUUUACCCAAAAGUAAUGUCAGCAGAAAUGAAAUGUCUUGACUGAGGUGACAAACGUCUGCAGUGGAGUAAGAAUUACUUAAGACACUCACCUUGCACAACUCUGCGAACUCCGAGACAAAGUUGGAUAGCUUAUAGAAUGAGUUGGGAUAAUUUGCCCUUCUUUUAAAUAUGUUAUGGACUGAAUGUUUGUGUCCCCGUGAAAUUCGUAUGUUGAAGUCCCAACCCCCAGUGUGGCUGUAUAUGGAGAUGGAGUCUCUGAGGAAGUAAUUGAGGUGAGAGAGGUCAUAAGGGUGCGGCCUUGAUCUGAUAGGGUUAGUGUCCGUAUAAGAAAGAAUACCAGAUGACCAGCCCUCUUUCUCUCUUUCUCUCUGUCCACAGGCACCUGGGAAGGCCAUGUGAGGACACAGUGAGAAGGCCUUGUCUACAAGCCAGGAAGAGUGGCCUCACCAGAAACCGGGUCAGCCAGCACCUUAAUUGUGGACAUCCCAGCCUCUAUAACUGAGAAAAUACAUUUCUGCUGUUUAAGCAGCCUAGUCUACGGUAUUUGUUACGGCAGAUGGUGUCUGUCAUGGCAGUCUGAGCAGAUGAAGAUAAUGUGUUAUGGAAUAUUUUAG
This 1234-nucleotide long non-coding RNA is filed under the name Equus caballus (horse). RNAcentral describes it as "lncRNA (ENSECAG00000054186.1)". Lineage: Eukaryota; Metazoa; Chordata; Mammalia; Perissodactyla; Equidae. The record is from RNAcentral.